AAACAUCACCUCUAGCAUUACAAGUAUUAGAGGCACUGCCUGCCCAGUGACAAAUCAGUUCAACGGCCGCGGUAUUCUGACCGUGCAAAGGUAGCAUAAUCACUUGUUCCUUAAAUAGGGACUAGUAUGAACGGCUAGACGAGGGUUUAACUGUCUCCUGUCUCCAGUCAGUGAAAUUGACCUUCCCGUGAAGAGGCGGGAAUAAAAAAAUAAGACGAGAAGACCCUAUGGAGCUUUAAUUAAUUUACAUACACUAAAACACUUAAUCUUCCUAAGGGUUAUAAAGUACUAGUACUAAGUAAAUAAUUUUGGUUGGGGUGACCUCGGAGAAUAAAAAAACCUCCGAAUGAUUUUAACCUAGACACUACAAGUCAAAGUCAAAAAUCAUCAAUUGACCCAGUACAAACUGAUCAACGAACCAAGUUACCCUAGGGAUAACAGCGCAAUCCUAUUCUAGAGUUCUUAUCGACAAUAGGGUUUACGACCUCGAUGUUGGAUCAGGACUUCCCAAUGGUGCAGCCGCUAUUAAAGGUUCGUUUGUUCAACGAUUAAAGUCCUACGUGAUCUGA
RNAcentral lists this ribosomal RNA (569 nucleotides) under Hystrix indica. Its description in RNAcentral is "partial 16S ribosomal RNA". It matches the Rfam family "Bacterial large subunit ribosomal RNA", at positions 1811 to 2608 of the family's 2925-position model. Lineage: Eukaryota; Metazoa; Chordata; Mammalia; Rodentia; Hystricidae. The record is from RNAcentral.